RNAcentral lists this ribosomal RNA (522 nucleotides) under uncultured bacterium. Its description in RNAcentral is "bacterial SSU rRNA". It matches the Rfam family "Bacterial small subunit ribosomal RNA", at positions 8 to 525 of the family's 1533-position model. The record is from RNAcentral.
AGAGUUUGAUCCUGGCUCAGAUUGAACGCUGGCGGCAGGCCUAACACAUGCAAGUCGAGCGGUAGAGAGGUGCUUGCAUCUCUUGAGAGCGGCGGACGGGUGAGUAAUGCCUAGGAAUCUGCCUAGUGGUGGGGGAUAACGUUCGGAAACGGACGCUAAUACCGCAUACGUCCUACGGGAGAAAGCGGGGGAUCUUCGGACCUCGCGCCAUUAGAUGAGCCUAGGUCGGAUUAGCUAGUUGGUGAGGUAAUGGCUCACCAAGGCGACGAUCCGUAACUGGUCUGAGAGGAUGAUCAGUCACACUGGAACUGAGACACGGUCCAGACUCCUACGGGAGGCAGCAGUGGGGAAUAUUGGACAAUGGGCGAAAGCCUGAUCCAGCCAUGCCGCGUGUGUGAAGAAGGUCUUCGGAUUGUAAAGCACUUUAAGUUGGGAGGAAGGGUCGUGACCUAAUACGUUACGGCUUUGACGUUACCGACAGAAUAAGCACCGGCUAACUUCGUGCCAGCAGCCGCGGUAAUA